UACGUAGGGGCCUAGCGUUGUCCGGAAUUCUUGGGCGUAAAGAGCUCGUAGGCGGUUCGGCAAGUCGGAUGUGAAAUCUCCACGCUUAACGUGAGGGGCCAUUCGAAACUGCUGUGACUCGAGUCCGGUAGGGGAGUGUGGAAUUCCCGGUGUAGCGGUGAAAUGCGCAGAUAUCGGGAGGAACACCAGUAGCGAAGGCGGCACUCUGGGCCGGUACUGACGCUGAGGAGCGAAAGCGUGGGGAGCGAACAGG
RNAcentral lists this ribosomal RNA (253 nucleotides) under uncultured bacterium. Its description in RNAcentral is "partial 16S ribosomal RNA". It matches the Rfam family "Bacterial small subunit ribosomal RNA", at positions 524 to 776 of the family's 1533-position model. The record is from RNAcentral.